RNAcentral lists this ribosomal RNA (497 nucleotides) under uncultured bacterium. RNAcentral's name for it is "partial 16S ribosomal RNA". It matches the Rfam family "Bacterial small subunit ribosomal RNA", at positions 28 to 507 of the family's 1533-position model. The record is from RNAcentral.
GAUGAACGCUGGCGGCGUGCCUAAUACAUGCAAGUCGAGCGAACGGACGAGAAGCUUGCUUCUCUGAUGUUAGCGGCGGACGGGUGAGUAACACGUGGAUAACCUACCUAUAAGACUGGGAUAACUUCGGGAAACCGUAGCUAAUACCGGAUAAUAUUUUGAACCGCAUGGUUCAAAAGUGAAAGACGGUCUUGCUGUCACUUAUAGAUGGAUCCGCGCUGCAUUAGCUAGUAGGUAAGGUAACGGCUUACCAAGGCAACGAUGCAUAGCCGACCUGAGAGGGUGAUCGGCCACACUGGAACUGAGACACGGUCCAGACUCCUACGGGAGGCAGCAGUAGGGAAUCUUCCGCAAUGGGCGAAAGCCUGACGGAGCAACGCCGCGUGAGUGAUGAAGGUCUUCGGAUCGUAAAACUCUGUUAUUAGGGAAGAACAUAUGUGUAAGUAACUGUGCACAUCUUGACGGUACCUAAUCAGAAAGCCACGGCUAACUACGUG